Molecule: unclassified non-coding RNA, 500 nt
Filed under: uncultured Glomus
Lineage: Eukaryota; Fungi; Glomeromycota; Glomeromycetes; Glomerales; Glomeraceae
Description: SSU rRNA
Rfam family: Eukaryotic small subunit ribosomal RNA
Source: RNAcentral
CCAAUAGCGUAUAUUAAAGUUGUUGCAGUUAAAAAGCUCGUAGUUGAAUUUCGGGAUCAGUAGGUCGGUCGUGCCACUGGUAUGAACUGGUCUCACUGGUUCCUCCCUCUUGACGAACUGCAAUGCUAUUAAUUUAGUGUUGUAGGAAAUCAGGACUGUUACUUUGAAAAAAUUAGAGUGUUUAAAGCAAGCUUUAGCUUGAAUACAUUAGCAUGGAAUAAUGAAAUAGGACGUUCGAUCCUAUUUUGUUGGCUUCUAGGAUUGACGUAAUGAUUAAUAGGGACAGUUGGGGGCAUUAGUAUUCAAUUGUCAGAGGUGAAAUUCUUGGAUUUAUUGAAGACUAACUACUGCGAAAGCAUUUGCCAAGGAUGUUUUUAUUAAUCAAGAACGAAAGUUAGGGGAUCGAAGACGAUCAGAUACCGUCGUAGUCUUAACCAUAAACUAUGCCGACUAGGGAUCGGAUGAUGUUAAUUUUUUAAUGACUCAUUCGGCGCCUUACG